UUUUCGGAGAGUUUGAUCCUGGCUCAGAGUGAACGCUGGCGGCGUAGAUUAGGCAUGCAAGUCGAGCGAUGAUUUUUAGAAGGGGACUGUCCCCGGAAGGGGACUGUCCCCGGAAAAAAAUCAUAGCGGCAGACUGGUGAGGAAUACGCGAGUAAUUUACCCUUAAGUCAGGGAUAGCUUCGCGAAAGCGGAGGUAAUACCCGAUGUGUUUACAGAGGCGCAGGUUUCUGUAAGUAAAGGCGCUCCGCAAGGGGUGAUGUUUAAGGAUGAGCUCGCGUCCUAUCAGCUAGUUGGCAGGGUAACGGCCUACCAAGGCUUUUGACGGGUAGCUGGCCUGAGAGGGUGGUCAGCCACACGGGGACUGAGACACUGCCCCGACUCCUACGGGAGGCUGCAGUCGAGGAUAUUUAGCAAUGGGCGAAAGCCUGACUAUGUGACGCCGCGUGAGGGAUGAAGGUCUUCGGAUUGUAAACCUCUUUCGAUGGGGAAGAAAAUUCCGGUUAAUUCCCGGAACUGACGGUACCCAGAGAAGAAGCCAUGGCCAACUCUGUGCCAGCAGCCGCGGUAAUACAGAGAUGGCGAGCGUUACUCGGAUUUAUUGGGUGUAAAGGGCAGGUAGGUGUCCUCGUAAGUCAGUAGUGAAAUCCUAUGGCUUAACCAUAGAACUGCUAUUGAAACUGCAAGGAUUGAGGAUAGAAGAGGAGAGCGGAAUUCCCGGUGUAAGGGUGAAAUCUGUAGAUAUCGGGAGGAACACCAGUGGCGAAGGCGGCCUGCUGGACAGUCCCUGACGCUGAGCGACGAAAGCGUGGGGAGCAAACAGGAUUAGAUACCCUGGUAGUCCACGCUGUAAACGUUGAGGACUAGGUGCCGGCCCGGUUUCGGGUCGGUGCCGAAGGUAACCCAUUAAGUCCUCCACCUGGGGAGUACGUCCGCAAGGAUGAAACUCAAAGGAAUUGACGGGGGCCCGCACAAGCGGUGGAACAUGUGGUUCAAUUCGACGCUACGCGCAGAACCUUACCUAGGCUUGACAUGCUAGAAGUACUGAACCGAAAGGGGAUGGACUCGUCAAGUCGAGAGCUAGCACAGGUGGUGCAUGGCUGUCGUCAGCUCGUGCUGUGAAGUGUUGGGUUAAGUCCCGCAACGAGCGCAACCCACGUGAGUUGUUGCUAACCGAGUCGCAAGAUUCGGAGCACUCGACUCAAACUGCCGGCGAUAAGCCGGAGGAAGGUGUGGAUGACGUCAAGUCAGUACGCUCCUUAUGCCUAGGGCUACACACGUGUUACAAUGGCCAGUACAAAGGGUUGCCAACCCGCGAGGGGGAGCUAAUCUCAAAAAACUGGCCUCAGUUCAGAUCGGAGUCUGCAAUUCGACUCCGUGAAGACGGAAUCGCUAGUAAUGGCGGAUC
RNAcentral lists this ribosomal RNA (1405 nucleotides) under Candidatus Omnitrophota bacterium. Its description in RNAcentral is "bacterial SSU rRNA". It matches the Rfam family "Bacterial small subunit ribosomal RNA", at positions 1 to 1350 of the family's 1533-position model. Lineage: Bacteria; Pseudomonadati; Candidatus Omnitrophota. The record is from RNAcentral.